Molecule: ribosomal RNA, 347 nt
Filed under: Staphylococcus pettenkoferi
Lineage: Bacteria; Bacillati; Bacillota; Bacilli; Caryophanales; Staphylococcaceae
Description: bacterial SSU rRNA
Rfam family: Bacterial small subunit ribosomal RNA
Source: RNAcentral
UUUAUGGAGAGUUUGAUCCUGGCUCAGGAUGAACGCUGGCGGCGUGCCUAAUACAUGCAAGUCGAGCGAACAGACGGGGAGCUUGCUCCCCCGACGUUAGCGGCGGACGGGUGAGUAACACGUGGGUAACCUACCUAUAAGACUGGAAUAACUCCGGGAAACCGGGGCUAAUACCGGAUAACAUGUUGGACGGCAGGGGCCUACAGUGACAGACGGUCUUGCUGUCACUUAUAGAUGGACCCGCGCCGUAUUAGCUAGUUGGUAAGGUAACGGCUUACCAAGGCAACGAUACGUAGCCGACCUGAGAGGGUGAUCGGCCACACUGGAACUGAGACACGGUCCAGACU